This 264-nucleotide ribosomal RNA is filed under the name uncultured bacterium. Its description in RNAcentral is "partial 16S rRNA". It matches the Rfam family "Bacterial small subunit ribosomal RNA", at positions 1155 to 1417 of the family's 1533-position model. The record is from RNAcentral.
CGAUCAACGUGGAGGAGGGUGGGGAUGACGUCAAGUCAGCACGGCCCUUACGUCNUGGGCGACACACACGNUACAAUGGUCGGUACAAUGAGACGCCAACCCGCGAGGGGGAGCCAAUCGAGCAAAACCGGUCUCAGUUCGGAUUGGAGGCUGCAACCCGCCUCCAUGAAGUUGGAGUUGCUAGUAACCGUGGGUCAGCACACCACGGUGAAUACGUUUCCCGGGUNUUGUACACACCGCCCGUCACACCACGAAAGUCGGCAA